GAUGAACGCUGGCGGCGUGCUUAAUACAUGCAAGUCGAACGAAGCUCCUUAUCUUCGGACGAGGAGUCUUAGUGGCGAACGGGUGCGUAACGCGUUGGUAACCUGCCCCAAAGAGGGGGAUAACAGUUCGAAAGGACUGCUAAUACCCCAUAUGGUCAUCAGGGUUAGAUACCUGAUGAUUAAAGGAGUAAUCCGCUUUGGGAGGGGCCUGCGUCCCAUCAGCUAGUUGGUAGGGUAAUGGCCUACCAAGGCAAUGACGGGUAGGGGACCUGAGAGGGUGGCCCCCCACACUGGCACUGAAAUACGGGCCAGACACCUACGGGUGGCAGCAGUAGGGAAUAUUGGACAAUGGGCGAAAGCCUGAUCCAGCAACGCCGCGUGCACGAUGACGGCCUUCGGGUUGUAAAGUGCUUUUAAGGGAGAUGAGAAAGGACAGUAUCCCUUGAAUAAGCCUCGGCGAACUACGUGCCAGCAGCCGCGGUAAAACGUAGGAGGCAAGCGUUAUCCGGAUUUAUUGGGCGUAAAGCGCGUGCAGGCCGCUUGGAAAGUUGGAUGUGAAAGCUCCUGGCUUAACUGGGAGAGGUCGUUCAAAACUACCAAGCU
RNAcentral lists this ribosomal RNA (603 nucleotides) under uncultured Anaerolinea sp. RNAcentral's name for it is "bacterial SSU rRNA". It matches the Rfam family "Bacterial small subunit ribosomal RNA", at positions 28 to 642 of the family's 1533-position model. Lineage: Bacteria; Bacillati; Chloroflexota; Anaerolineae; Anaerolineales; Anaerolineaceae. The record is from RNAcentral.